Long non-coding RNA from Cygnus olor (mute swan), 1537 nucleotides. RefSeq lists it as uncharacterized. Lineage: Eukaryota; Metazoa; Chordata; Aves; Anseriformes; Anatidae. The transcript has 4 exons. The record is from RefSeq and is a predicted model, not a curated record.
UGAUCACCUGGGGAGGACUCAGAGCCUGCUGCGGCUCAUAGGGCAAAUGCAGGAGGUGUGCUGGUUCUUUGCAGCUAGAGGAGGAACUUCUUCACCCCAAGGCUUGAAGGUAGUAGGAGCCUGCGAAGAGCUUCCUAAGGAGUCCUGGCUCGUCCUGACCAUAGUUUGUGGAUCAGAACAAAGUGUCAGGUGGGCCAGGGGAUUGGUGUCAAAAUCAGAAGUCUGAAUCUGGUCUGUGAACUUGGGAGCAUCUCAAGCUGAAGGAUACAGUACUCUCGAGUGAAGUGAGAAAAUCAUGUCUGUGACAAACGCCAGCUGGUGGCAGCUGCAGGAGCAGAGGAUUUCAGCCCUCCCACGUUCAGCACUUGGGACACAUGUGGCAGAAUGGUGCCUGCAAAAAGAGGAGAUUUUAUUUUCUGUGGCAUUAAUUACAGAUGGGAUUUAGCAGCUCUGACCUUCAUUCCUGACUCUGGUGACAGCUUGAUGGGUGACAUGAGGCAAAUCGCACACUCCAUGCCCUGCUUUCCCUGGGCACAGCUGUAUUUACCCGGUGAUUGGUGAGCUAAGGAUGUUUUUAGGUGCUCUGUUAAGAGCCAGGUAGCAUUGGCCAUCAACAGCAUGCUGGAAUUUCAUGAUACUGCAUCUUGCGGCAACAUUUUGUAAUGUGCAACCAUUUAGAAAUUAUUUUUCACUCUGAAAAAAAGCCUACUGAUGCUGGCGCUCAAGAAAUUCCCUAUCCUAUCUACAGGGAAAUUAAAAAUGUGAAUUUUUAAAGCCUGGAAGCAGGGCUGUUCCCAGAUUGUUCCCCUUCUGAUCAGGGGAGAGAAGAUCACGCAGUUCCAUAAAAACAGCAUCCCCUUCCAGCCCGGCCAGGCUGGGUCGUUAUCUUUUUUGAUUACCAGUAGUUUGACUUUAUUUACCCUCUGUGAAAUGCUUAUGAGCAUUUGGCUGUGCAUUUAAUGCAUGCAACUUACUUUGGGGUCCUUUGAAUACUUGAGCAUGAAGGGAUAUAAACAUAAACGCAGACAGAUUUAUUGCAGUCUAAUUUAAUAAAAAUGUCAACAAAUAAAUGCAUGUUUGGCAGGGGAAUAAAUAUCAAAUAGGAGUGAAGCAGACAGUGGAGUACGUUGUAAGAAAUUAACAUGAAACAUUUUGGUUUGACAGCGACUAUAAAAUAAAACUGUACUUUGGGGACUUUGGGAGUGAUUUAGCAGAGGUGUGCUCCCAGGGCGCGCACAACCCGCUUGCACGAACCAAGCGAGGGGAAAGAGCUUGAGGACAAGCCCAUUCUGCUACUGAGGGGAAUGGGUUGUGAUCUGCUGCUUGCAUCUGCAAACUGGCAUUUAACGUCAGGGGAGCACGGUGCUGCCUGGGCUGCUUUCCCUGUGCAGGGCUGUGGCUGUGCCUGCACGUGGGCAGCCCCCUCCUGUGCCAGCCAGCCUGCUCCUUCUGCCUGCUGCCUGGCUUGUUUGGCCCUGCAACUCCAGCUCUGGGCUCUCUCGUGCAGUUAGGCUUCAGGAAAGAGGCAGGGAGGAGA